CCUCCUGGUGCUUCGGAGCUCAUUAACUGUUUAAUAAUUGUAAACAAAGCCGCCAAAGAUGGAGAAAAGAUGUACAUGUUCGUAAAUGCUUGCGUAAUUGCUUCGUGAAUCUGGCCCGUGGAGCCGCAAGAGCUUCCAAUGUUUGAACAAGUCUCUCCCCGGACGAACGUGACGAAGAGACCCACCACCACACAACGCAAUGGUCAAAGGUCACGAUGGCAGUAGGGAAGGCCAAGAGGGGUUGACCUGUAUGAAACUGGGUAAGGGUCAAGAGAUGUGGAUGAGAGGACUACAAUAUAAUACAUGUAAGAUAUGAAAAUACAGUACAUAUUCCC
This is a non-coding RNA of Procambarus clarkii (red swamp crayfish), 335 nucleotides long. Lineage: Eukaryota; Metazoa; Arthropoda; Malacostraca; Decapoda; Cambaridae. The record is from RefSeq and is a predicted model, not a curated record.